UGGGAUGCUGUGCUUUCCACUUUUACUGUUUUCUCUAAACCAGUAACAGGUCAAGAGUUGCCAUGCUGUCUGUGUUAAAACGCCAUCAAAUUAUAUUGCAGAAUACUAAAGAUUCAAGUGUUUGUAUUGUAUGUCAUUGUAAUCUCCAGGUUUUUGUUUCCAGAACAAUGCAAUAAACCUGUAGGGCAGAAUCAUGCGGCUAAUCAGCAUCACAACCAGCCCCCCAGUGAGGUUUCCUAGGAAAUCAGUCACUCUAUCUAUAGUGAUAGUACUAAUGGAAUAUGUCAACUCAAUCAUGUAAAUGAUAG
Pelobates cultripes (western spadefoot toad) is the source of this 308-nucleotide non-coding RNA. NCBI's taxonomy places the organism in Eukaryota, Metazoa, Chordata, Amphibia, Anura, Pelobatidae. The record is from the annotation of a GenBank genome assembly.